Cygnus olor (mute swan) is the source of this 2080-nucleotide long non-coding RNA. RefSeq lists it as uncharacterized. The record is from RefSeq and is a predicted model, not a curated record. The transcript is spliced from 8 exons. Lineage: Eukaryota; Metazoa; Chordata; Aves; Anseriformes; Anatidae.
AUUGAGUUGACAGAUGAGAAUGGCAAGGUGACGAAUUUGGUCCAGAACCAUUAUACAUCACAGUUCCUAAGUGAGAGAGAGUUUUGUGUACUACUCAGAGUUACAUGACAUGAAGGUUCUCAAGAAGCUGUGUUUAUGCCACUGUUGAAAGAUCACAGCAUUGUCACUCCAAAGUUCCCAUGUUGGUGGCCUAAGCUAAAUUGGGAAAGUGGAAAGAUUUGAAAGUGUCACCUACUGACUGAAAACUAGAAAAUGUGGCAAGCAAACAAUCUUGCUUUUGGAAGUUCCAUCCACAGAAGCAGAGAUUGACAUGGACCAGCAGCAUUGUGGUGUCUGCUGAAGAGGUUCCUUGCUCUAGAGGUGGUGCUGCCAGGAAAGAUCAGUGGUAGGCUAAGUUAUCCUUCCUUGUGUGAGAUACAGAACCUGCAAAACUUACCUGAAAAGACCCUGCUGGAAAAUGGAAUUUCUUCGUGUUUUCCUGAUGAUCAAAUCUGCAACUUGCUGAAUUGUGAUGCUGACAAAGAAGGCAGUAUAGCCAGUCCACUGCAGGAAUAUUGAGGCGCUUAGCAAUAUCUUCCACGGUCUCGCUGGUGGCUGAAAUGAUGCCUACACUCUUGGCAAUGGCCUUAGCAGUGAUUGGGUGAUCGCCAGUGACCAUGAUAACCUGAGGAAGGGACAAGCACUUAGGACUCCGUGAAACCAAGAUGUGUUUAUCCCUCAUGGUGGCUUCAAGUAGCACAUUCACGUUGAAGAGCAUUCCAGUUCUGCUUCCUACAUGCUGCGGUGCAAUAUAUACCGGUCUGUCAGCAGUUAUUUACAAUCUAAAGGUAAGUUCCGAAUCUUCAAAGCUGCCCAUCAUGUGGUUUGAUUUUCAAAACUGGAGAAGUGCUGUCAGUGUAAAACGUGUUGCUUGAAAUUGUACAUCUGGCCUGGGCAUACGGCUGCCUCCUUCUGUGACCUUACAAAGUCCAUUACGUGGGCAGAGCCUUCUGUAGUGUCACGGUAAGCAUGAAUAUGCAUUUUCUUAUGUGCAUUUCUCCUUUUUUUUUUUCCCUUCAGAACAAAACCUGGCUGCAAUACUAGCACAUUAGGCAGGAGAGGGAGCUUUUACCUUGGGAUGGCACAUCACUGGCUGUGAUUAAUUCCUUUGGUUUUUGUGAGCGUGGGGUGUCGUUGCAUUAUAAAGCAUGUUUAUGGAGAUAAUCCACUUAUCAGCCCAAGCACACAUUCUCUCUUCACUAGAUGACAAAUUAGUUCUUUCCUUACUGAGAGAGAUUAUAAGGGCUACCCUAACCUAGAGUAACAGGGGAGGGCAUGGCACGAAACUGAUAACAUCAGAAUCAAAAGUAGGAGCAGGAGACAAAAAAGAAAUGCAUUGAAAAAUGGCUACAAAAUACAAGCAAUCUGCUAAAGCAACUCAUUCAUCAAGGGGAUUUGGCCUUGCCCUACUCUAAUCUAAAUUGAAUCUAAUUUAGAUUCCAAGCAAGGGAUGGGAAUCCUUUCCUGAACCAAAACAAGCCUUGCCACCUCCUACCUUUUCAUUACUCAUUCCUUAAUUUGUUUGGGUUUGUUAUGUAGGACGCUCAGGAAGAAUAGCUUAAAGCUGUGUGUGCCUGUGCUGAAUCUGGUGGUGUGAUCGCUGCUUUGCUGUACGUUGGGUUGACUUUUUGAGGCAGUAAGAGCACCCAGAGCUGGCAGCGUGCCUCUGCCUGAGGCCCCCAGGAACUUAGGCGUGAACAUCUUUCUCUUCUUCCCUGAAUGCUCGCUUACUUGCACUGCUACUUGACCUAGUCUGGGGGAGUCCAUUGCAGCCUCAGGCUCGAGCAGUUUCUCUGUUUUUUCACUCUAAAAAUCCUCUCUGCUGGUGCCCAGAUGCAUCAAGACUGCCCCAGAGGAAGGGACUGGCGGGUAGUUUUCUUCAUUUUUGAGAUAUUCUUGCUGACCUACUUUCUGUUCUUGCAUUAUACACUGAUAAACAGCAAAGCUCAGCCUCCUGGUUUGUGUAUGUCUGAGAAGACCAAAUGGUGUAAAUCCUUCUCUGAGGCUUGUCAGGGCUCCCAGCACCUGAGCUGAGUUCAGA